AGGAUGAACGCUGGCGGCGUGCUUAAGACAUGCAAGUCGAACGCAGAGCUGAUAGCAAUAUUGGCUCUGAGUGGCGAAUGGGUGCGUAACACGUAGGUGACCUGCCCUGAAGUGGGGAAUAACAGUCCGAAAGGACUGCUAAUACCGCAUACGGUUCAAGGCGUUAGAGAACUUGAACCAAAGCUCGUAAGGGCGCUUCAGGAGGGGCCUGCGGCCCAGUCAGUUAGUUGGUAGGGUAACGGCCUACCAAGACGACGAC
RNAcentral lists this ribosomal RNA (259 nucleotides) under uncultured soil bacterium. RNAcentral describes it as "partial 16S ribosomal RNA". It matches the Rfam family "Bacterial small subunit ribosomal RNA", at positions 26 to 280 of the family's 1533-position model. The record is from RNAcentral.